This 3460-nucleotide long non-coding RNA is filed under the name Nicotiana tabacum (common tobacco). RNAcentral describes it as "long non-coding RNA (NTAB_LNC014130)". Lineage: Eukaryota; Viridiplantae; Streptophyta; Magnoliopsida; Solanales; Solanaceae. The record is from RNAcentral.
UAGGAAUCAUCAAUAAAUAAUAAAUAAGACUUUGAAAAUCAAUACAACUAUCCGAAGGACUGAUAGCAGAUGUCAUAAGUCACUAAAAUUUAGAUUUACAAAAGCUGGUACGAAGAAUAAAUACAACAUAUAUUUGAAGUUUACAUAAACAGAAUUUUAAGUCCUAAACUACUGAGAACAAGUGGUAGCUUGAAUCUGGAUUUCUGGUACAACUCCAAUGCUAGCCUCGUUAUCCACAUCAGCUCAGCUCCAAGAUCUGCGUGCAAGGUACAAAAAUGUAGUAUGAGUACAACCGAUUUCAUGUACUCAGUAAGUAUUUUGACAAACCUCAGUGAAGUAGUGACACAGGUUUUAAGUAAAAAAGAUACUCACUUUGUAUAACCCGUGCAACUCAAUAACAUUUAUAAUACAGAGAAGUAUUCAAUGAGAUAGCCAUAGAAUAACGGAUAUCAUCAAUAAAGGUGCACAACUGGGGUAAGGUAAUCAACAAGUUUUGCCAAUUUAACAGAUUGAGCAAUUACAACUUGCAUCAACUCCGCGCACAAAGAGACAUGCACCAAGUAGUGUAUAUUCAAAUACUCAUACAUGACCGUAGAGUGUCCAUACAUAACAAUGAUCCAAUUGUGUAUCAAUUUAUAAACACCUUUUUUAUGAAACUUUUACAUGAGUCCAAAAUUUCAAUGUAUGAAGAUAACCCAUUUUUUUACAUCAAUCUGACACUAUCCAAGUAUCCAACAACGCAGUAAUAAGUCUCAUACAUAUGUAAAAUGUAUCAACUAGUAUAUGCAGAUGAUAUGCAUGAAUAAAGGUUGUAAAAAUGCAUGAAUAUGUAAAAAGUAUCACUUGAGUGGUCAAAACUUCCACCUUUAUGCUCAAUAACUCAGCACAUAGGAUUCCACAUCACAAUUAACCAGAAACUCGUCGGUUUCUCAUAACUUGCCUGUACGCCAUUAAUAGAGAAAUAUGAGAGGGCGACCCUAGGGGGAUGGAUCCUUAUCCACAUGUUGCACAGACAACUCACGUUCCAUAAUCAUAUCAACCUCGUGGAAAAGACCUCGUGCCAAAUCAAUAUCACAUCACCAUCCGUACGACAAAGAUCUCGUGCAAAAAUAAUAUCAAUAUCACAAUAUUCGCACAGCAGAAACCUCAUGCUAAGACAUUAUCACAUCACAAUCCGCACGGAAAAUACCUCGUAUCAAAUCAAUAACAAUAUCACAAUAUUUGCAUGCAGAAACCUCGUGCCCAAGUAAUAUUAUAUCACAGUCCGCACGAUAAAGACCUUGUGGAAAAGUAAUAUCAGUAUCACAAUAUCUGUAUGGUAGAAAUAUCGUGCCAUAACCGCAGUCCAUAUCCGAGAACCAUAUACAAUGAUGUAUGCAUAUGAAUAAAAGAUAAACAUAUGUAAUGCAUAUGGACAUAGAAAUAACCAUACAUGGAUGUAUGCGUGUAUACAAGGGAUGAUCCCUAGGUAGGAUGUAUGCCUAUAUGUACAUAUGACCACAAACCCAACAUGUAAUACAUCAUCCAAAUAAUCAUCAUGCCCAGAUAAGCAUCAAAAAUAAUUUCGUAGUCUUUAACGUGGAUAAGAAAACUCAAAUAGUCGUACAUCAAUUUACGGUAUAACACAAGAAUAAUAAGUACGGGUGUGUAUUCACAACGUAUGUGUAACUACGUCUAAAGUAUGUAUAACAGCAAUAUCAACAAUAGUUUAACAAGCACAAAAUAAGGUACCAUUAUCCUAAACAUUAACUCUAGCAUGCUUUAUCGGGCUCACGUAGUCUAUUAAUUGAGUAAAACAUAGAAUCAAGCAGAAUAGACAACCAAACAAGGUAUAAGGUAUUCUAUAGUCUACCCCGAGCAUAAUACCCAUGGCACAUGUAUAUACACUCGUCACCUCAUAUAUACAUCACCCCUUAUGUAGUAAAUAGUUUUAUUUAUUAGGAAACAUUUUCUCAACCAAAUCUAGGCAAGACGCUUACCUCAUCCGGGCUAGUCCAAAGCUCCAAAAUCACAUUUCCUUGAGCAAUUACUCCUAACUGGCUUAAAUCUAGCGAAAUAUCAACCAAGGAAGUCAACCAAUUCCAUAGGAAGUAAUCCUAAUCAAUAAAACUUCUAUCUUUAAAGAACUCCCAAAAAGUAAACAAAAGUCAACCCGGACUCGUGUGUCAAAAAUUCGGAACCAAUAUCAAAAGACGAUGACUCAUAAAUAGCCGACACCAAAUAUUUAAUUAGUUCCCAAAACCGAAUCUAAACCGGCAUUCAAAUUCCCAAAAUACACUCUCUUAAAGUGUAGGUAAAACACCCAAAUUUUCCUUCAAAAUUUCAUGUUCUCUGUCAAUGAUGUGUUGCAUUGUUCUCUCCGGGCACGUUUUACGAGAAUUUCCUCUUUUUAUUUUUAUAGGCCCAUUUGGUUUCAAAUAAAAUAAUGAAUAGGUUCUCGUGCUAUGAGGAAGCACUUUUGGAGUUGAGGAGCAUGAUGAAGCAUGGCAGGGAAAGCUUGACAGGACCCAUGUCGAGAAGGAACUUUUCAGCUUCGGGCACAAUUGGUUUCGAAUAGAUUGAAAAGCUGAUGGUGGAGCUUAAAGAGCAUGAGGAUUUCUCUGCUGAAUAAAGUUCUCAGGCAGCUCAGGAGCUAUGGUCUUUGAAGAAGUUGUUUGCCAAUAAAGAGGCUUAUUCCAGAUACUUCAGUCAAGGGUAUUCUCGAGUGAUGAAUAGUCUGCAAAUAUCACAAGACAAAGUGCAAGCUCUUGAAAACUCCUUGAAAGAUGAGAGGGAUGGUCUUGCUGAUUCAGAAGUUAAUAGGUUGAAUCUACAGUCUGAGAAGGGGGAAAGUAGAUGCCGACUAUGAAGUGCUCAAAAAUCAAAUCGGGCUUGCUUACAAUUAGCUUUAUUGGAAACCCAUUUGAAGAUUAGAGGUAGUCUGUGCUGGGAUCCCUGAUUUGGACGGGAAUAUUGAGAAAGUUAGACAUAAGGUGGAGGAAGCCUGGCUACUAAUAAUUUCAUCUACUUCCUAAGAUUAUUCCUUGAAAGAAGAGACGCUCUCAGAGUGGCCGAAUGAGGUUGACAAAGAAGAAGACACCGAAUCACAUCCUUCGAUUUCAACUCCUCAAAUGGAUCUUCCUUCGAUGGUACCAUCAACUUCUCAAACUUUUCCUCCUAUCCUCAAAUUGUUAAUCUAGAUUCUCCUUCUCAAAGCCAGCAAUAAGCAUUGGUACUUAGUGAAAAGUGCAGUAACCCGAGUUUGGGGUGUUAUCCGUGCAAUGACCCGUUUGAGGUAUUUUCUUAUUUGUUCUUUUUUGUUUGAGAAAUAUUUUGUUGAUCAUUUUGUGAAUAUGUUGAUGGAACAACUAUUUUUGAAGCCUUUGAGCCUUUGCUUAAUGAAUAGUUUAUGGCUUCUAUUUUCGUACUUAAAUUAUUUUUUAAUUCGGAAGUACUUUAUUUGAGUUUUCGAUUAUUGUUG